AGUGAACGCUGGCGGUAGGCCUAACACAUGCAAGUCGAACGGCAGCACAGUAAGAGCUUGCUCUUACGGGUGGCGAGUGGCGGACGGGUGAGGAAUACAUCGGAAUCUACUUUUUCGUGGGGGAUAACGUAGGGAAACUUACGCUAAUACCGCAUACGACCUACGGGUGAAAGCAGGGGAUCUUCGGACCUUGCGCGAUUGAAUGAGCCGAUGUCGGAUUAGCUAGUUGGCGGGGUAAAGGCCCACCAAGGCGACGAUCCGUAGCUGGUCUGAGAGGAUGAUCAGCCACACUGGAACUGAGACACGGUCCAGACUCCUACGGGAGGCAGCAGUGGGGAAUAUGGGACAAUGGGCGCAAGCCUGAUCCAGCCAUACCGCGUGGGUGAAGAAGGCCUUCGGGUUUUAAAGCCCUUUUGUUGGGAAAGAAAAGCAGCAGGUUAAUACCCCGCUGUUCUGACGGUACCCAAAGAAUAAGCACCGGCUAACUUCGUG
Molecule: ribosomal RNA, 492 nt
Filed under: uncultured bacterium
Lineage: Bacteria
Description: partial 16S ribosomal RNA
Rfam family: Bacterial small subunit ribosomal RNA
Source: RNAcentral